ACGGGAGGCAGCAGUGGGGAAUAUUGCACAAUGGGGGGAACCCUGAUGCAGCGAUGCCGCGUGAAGGAAGAAGAUUUUCGGAUUGUAAACUUCUAUCAGCAAGGAAGAAAACGGACAGUACUUGAGUAAGAAGCCCCGGCUAACUACGUGCCAGCAGCCGCGGUAAUACGUAGGGGGCAAGCGUUAUCCGGAAUUACUGGGUGUAAAGGGUGCGUAGGCGGUAGAGCAAGUUUGAUGUGAAACCUAUGGGCUUAACUCAUAGCAUGCAUCGAAAACUACUAAACUAGAGUACAGGAGAGGAAAGCGGAAUUCCUAGUGUAGCGGUGAAAUGCGUAGAUAUUAGGAGGAACACCAGUGGCGAAGGCGGCUUACUGGACUGUAACUGACGUUGAGGCUCGAAAGCGUGGGGAGCAAACAGGAUUAGAUACCCUGGUA
RNAcentral lists this ribosomal RNA (435 nucleotides) under uncultured Blautia sp. RNAcentral's name for it is "partial 16S ribosomal RNA". It matches the Rfam family "Bacterial small subunit ribosomal RNA", at positions 341 to 792 of the family's 1533-position model. The record is from RNAcentral. Lineage: Bacteria; Bacillati; Bacillota; Clostridia; Lachnospirales; Lachnospiraceae.